This 435-nucleotide ribosomal RNA is filed under the name uncultured bacterium. RNAcentral's name for it is "bacterial SSU rRNA". It matches the Rfam family "Bacterial small subunit ribosomal RNA", at positions 355 to 796 of the family's 1533-position model. The record is from RNAcentral.
UCGAGGAUCUUCGGCAAUGGGCGCAAGCCUGACCGAGCGACGCCGCGUGUGCGAUGAAGGCCUUCGGGUUGUAAAGCACUGUCGAGGGGGAGAAAAGCCCGUAAGGGUCUGAUCUAUCCCUGGAGGAAGCACGGGCUAAGUUCGUGCCAGCAGCCGCGGUAAGACGAACCGUGCGAACGUUGUUCGGAAUCACUGGGCUUAAAGGGCGCGUAGGCGGGCCAUCAAGUCCGUGGUGAAAUCCCCCGGCUCAACCGGGGAAGUGCUGCGGAUACUGGUGGUCUCGAGUGGGGUAGGGGCAUGUGGAACUUCCGGUGGAGCGGUGAAAUGCGUAGAUAUCGGAAGGAACGCCGGUGGCGAAAGCGACGUGCUGGACCCCUUCUGACGCUGAGGCGCGAAAGCCAGGGGAGCAAACGGGAUUAGAUACCCCCGUAGUCC